Molecule: ribosomal RNA, 453 nt
Filed under: uncultured bacterium
Lineage: Bacteria
Description: bacterial SSU rRNA
Rfam family: Bacterial small subunit ribosomal RNA
Source: RNAcentral
GACAACGCUGGCGGCGUGCCUAACACAUGCAAGUCGAGCGAAAGACUUCGGUCUUUAGCGGCGGACGGGUGAGUAACACGUGGGUAACCUGCCUCAUAGAGGGGGAUAGCCUUCCGAAAGGAAGAUUAAUACCGCAUAACAUAUUUUUAUCACAUGGUAAGAAUAUCAAAGGAGUAAUCCACUAUGAGAUGGACCCGCGGCGCAUUAGCUAGUUGGUGAGGUAACGGCUCACCAAGGCGACGAUGCGUAGCCGACCUGAGAGGGUGAUCGGCCACAUUGGAACUGAGAAACGGUCCAGACUCCUACGGGAGGCAGCAGUGGGGAAUAUUGCACAAUGGGCGAAAGCCUGAUGCAGCAACGCCGCGUGAGUGAUGAAGGCCUUCGGGUUGUAAAGCUCUGUCUUUGGGGACGAUAAUGACGGUACCCAAGGAGGAAGCCACGGCUAACUACGUG